RNAcentral lists this ribosomal RNA (275 nucleotides) under uncultured bacterium. RNAcentral describes it as "partial 16S ribosomal RNA". It matches the Rfam family "Bacterial small subunit ribosomal RNA", at positions 338 to 605 of the family's 1533-position model. The record is from RNAcentral.
CCUACGGGUGGCUGCAGUGGGGAAUUUUGGACAAUGGGCGCAAGCCUGAUCCAGCCAUGCCGCGUGCGGGAAGAAGGCCUUCGGGUUGUAAACCGCUUUUGGCAGGAACGAAACGGCGAUUCCUAAUACGAGUCGUUAAUGACGGUACCUGCAGAAUAAGCACCGGCUAACUACGUGCCAGCAGCCGCGGUAAUACGUAGGGUGCAAGCGUUAAUCGGAAUUACUGGGCGUAAAGCGUACGCAGGCGGCUUUGCAAGACAGGUGUGAAAUCCCCG